CAUGCAGUCGAGCGAGAAAGUUCCCUUCGGGGGGCGAGUAAAGCGGCGCACGGGUGAGUAACACGUAGGUAACCUACCAUACAGUGGAGGAUAACCCGUCGAAAGACGAGCUAAUCCUGCAUACGUUGUUCAUGUACUUCAUGAACUAGAAAGAUGGCCUCUUCUUGAAAGCUAUCGCUGUUUGAUGGGCCUGCGUACCAUUAGCUUGUUGGUGGGGUAACGGCCUACCAAGGCUACGAUGGUUAGCUGAUCUGAGAGGAUGAUCAGUCACACUGGAACUGAGACACGGUCCAGACUCCUACGGGGGGCAGCAGUGGGGAAUAUUGCGCAAUGGGCGAAAGCCUGACGCAGCAACGCCGCGUGCGGGAAGAAGGCCUUCGGGUCGUAAACCGCUGUCACAGGGGACGAAACACCCGUUGGUUAAUACCCAGCGGGCUUGACGGUACCCUGAGAGGAAGCACGCUAACUCCGUGCCAGCAGCCGCGGUAAUACGGAGGGUGCAAGCGUUGCUCGGAAUUACUGGGCGUAAAGGGCGUGUAGGCGGCUAGAGAAGUUCGGUGUGAAAGCCCUGGGCUCAACCCAGGAAGUGCGCCGGAAACCAUCUAGCUUGAGAACCGGAG
This 620-nucleotide ribosomal RNA is filed under the name uncultured bacterium. RNAcentral's name for it is "bacterial SSU rRNA". It matches the Rfam family "Bacterial small subunit ribosomal RNA", at positions 54 to 654 of the family's 1533-position model. The record is from RNAcentral.